AACGAACGCUGGCGGCAGGCCUAACACAUGCAAGUCGAACGCCGUAGCAAUACGGAGUGGCAGACGGGUGAGUAACACGUGGGAACGUACCCUUCGGUUCGGGAUAACUCAGGGAAACUUGAGCUAAUACCGGAUACGUCCGAGAGGAGAAAGAUUUAUUGCCGAGGGAUCGGCCCGNGUCUGAUUAGCUUGUUGGUGAGGUAACGGCUCACCAAGGCGACGAUCAGUAGCUGGUCGAGAGGAUGAUCAGCCACAUUGGGACUGAGACACGGCCCAAACUCCUACGGAGGCAGCAGUGGGGAAUAUUGGACAAUGGGCGCAAGCCUGAUCCAGCCAUGCCGCGUGAGUGAUGAA
This 354-nucleotide ribosomal RNA is filed under the name uncultured bacterium. RNAcentral's name for it is "bacterial SSU rRNA". It matches the Rfam family "Bacterial small subunit ribosomal RNA", at positions 29 to 412 of the family's 1533-position model. The record is from RNAcentral.